RNAcentral lists this ribosomal RNA (440 nucleotides) under uncultured bacterium. RNAcentral describes it as "partial 16S ribosomal RNA". It matches the Rfam family "Bacterial small subunit ribosomal RNA", at positions 339 to 795 of the family's 1533-position model. The record is from RNAcentral.
CUACGGGCGGCUGCAGUAGGGAAUAUUGGGCAAUGGGCGCAAGCCUGACCCAGCAACGCCGCGUGCGCGAAGAAGGCCUUCGGGUCGUAAAGCGCUUUUCUGAGGGAUGAGAAAGGACAGUACCUCAGGAAUAAGCCUCGGCUAACUACGUGCCAGCAGCCGCGGUAAAACGUAGGAGGCGAGCGUUAUCCGGAUUUACUGGGCGUAAAGCGUGUGCAGGCGGUCUGGCAAGUUGGAUGUGGAAGCUCCCGGCUCAACUGGGAGAGGUCGUUCAAAACUACCGGACUAGAGGGUAUCAGAGGGAGAUGGAAUUCCCGGUGUAGUGGUGAAAUGCGUAGAUAUCGGGAGGAACACCAGUGGCGAAAGCGAUCUUCUGGGAUACUACUGACGCUCAGACACGAAAGCUAGGGUAGCGAACGGGAUUAGAUACCCGAGUAGUC